UUUUGGCCAAUGGGGGCAACCCUGAUCCAACCAUGCCGGGUGGGUGAAGAAGGCCUUCGGGUUGUAAAGCCCCUUCCGCGGGGAAGAAAUCCCCCGGGUGAGAAGCCUUCGUGGAUGACGGUACUUGCAGAAGAAGCCCCGGCUAACUACGUGCCAGCAGCCGCGGUAAUACGUAGGGGGCGAGCGUUAUUCGGAAUUAUUGGGCGUAAAGCGUGCGCAGGCGGCCCUUUAAGUCAGGUGUGAAAGCCCUGGGCUUAACCUCGGACUGGCGCUUGAAACUGGGGGGCUAGAGUGCGGCAGAGGGGGGUGGAAUUCCGGGGGAGCGGUUAAAAGGGUAGAGAUCAGGAGGAACCCCGAGGGGAAGGCAGCCCCCUGGAUCGACACUGACGUCAGGCACGAAA
Molecule: ribosomal RNA, 401 nt
Filed under: uncultured bacterium
Lineage: Bacteria
Description: partial 16S ribosomal RNA
Rfam family: Bacterial small subunit ribosomal RNA
Source: RNAcentral